Dermacentor silvarum is the source of this 322-nucleotide long non-coding RNA. RefSeq lists it as uncharacterized. The record is from RefSeq and is a predicted model, not a curated record. The transcript has 2 exons. Lineage: Eukaryota; Metazoa; Arthropoda; Arachnida; Ixodida; Ixodidae.
UCCGCCAGACACUCCCCCGAAGCCAGCGAGGAUGGCUGCGCGCGCGUUUGAGCGCUCGCGCGCGGCGACCCGUCUGUCUCCUUUUUUUUUCUUUUUUAAAUGUAACCUGGUUUAUUGGGCUCUCGGCGUAUUCUUGCGUUCCUUCUGCACUGGGACAAGACACCACUGCACUAUUGGACUACGGCAAGCUGGUACCGUCCGGUGGAGCUUCAUACAGGAACUACUGCCUUACCUGCUGGUGUCACAACGUUGGAUGAACGCACAAAAAGCGCGGAACGAGCUUUUAUAUAGAGCAAAAUAAAUAUUUCAUCAUUGCACAAAA